This 2730-nucleotide ribosomal RNA is filed under the name human gut metagenome. Its description in RNAcentral is "bacterial LSU rRNA". It matches the Rfam family "Bacterial large subunit ribosomal RNA". The record is from RNAcentral.
AGAGCGUAGAGUGAAUGCCUUGGCAUUGGGAGCCGACGAAGGACGUGGUUAACUGCGAAAAGCUACGGGGAGUCGUAAGCAGACAUUGAUCCGUAGAUGUCCGAAUGGAGCAAUCCGCAUGGAGUUAGUCUAUGCAUCCAUAAGUGAAUUCAUAGCUUAUGGAGGGGAACCGCCUGAACUGAAACAUCUAAGUAGGGCGAGGAAGAGAAAUCAAACGAGAUUUCGUAAGUAGUGGCGAGCGAACGCGAAAGAGGCUAAACCAAGAGAAGAAAUUCUUUUGGGGUUACGGACUGCGAUAUGUAUCUGAGGACUUAGCAGAAUGGUAUGGGAAAGCCAACCAGAGAAUGUGAUAGUCAUGUAUGCGAAAAGGAAUCAGAGCUAGCAGGAUCCAAAGUACCGCGGGACACGAGGAAUCCCGUGGGAAGUCGGGGGGACCACCCUCCAAGCCUAAAUACUACCCAAUGACCGAUAGCGAAAAGUACUGUGAAGGAACGGUGAAAAGAACCCCGGGAGGGGAGUGAAAAGAACCUGAAACUCUAUGCUUACAAGCACAUAGAGCACGUCAAAGUGUGAUAUGGUACCUUUUGUAGAAUGGUCCGGCGAGUUAUUGUAUGCAGCAAGGUUAAGGUCUUCAGGACUGAAGCCGAAGCGAGAGCGAGUCUGACAAGGGCGAUAAGUUGCAUGCAAUAGACCCGAAACCGGGUGACCUAGCCAUGUUCAGGUUGAAGUGGAGGUAAAGCUCCAUGGAGGACCGAACCGACCUCCGUUGAAAAGGCGGCGGAUGAAAUGUGGCUAGCGGAGAAAUUCCAAUCGAACCCGGAAAUAGCUGGUUCUCCCCGAAAUAGCUUUAGGGCUAGCGUUGUAUUAGAUUUCUGGGGGUAAAGCACUGAAUAGGCUAGGGGCCGAGAGGUUACUGAACCUUAUCAAACUAAGAAUACCAGAAAAUUGAUGUACAGCAGUCAGACUAUGUGAGAUAAGUCUCAUAGUCAAAAGGGAAACAGCCCAGACCCACAGCUAAGGUCCCAAAACAGAUUUAAGUGGAAAAGGAUGUGGGAUUGCCCAGACAACCAGGAUGUUGGCUUAGAAGCAGCCACACAUUAAAAGAGUGCGUAAUAGCUCACUGGUCGAGUGAUCCUGCGCCGAAAAUUCAACGGGGCUAAAAUUUGUACCGAAGCUUGGGCUUGAUACAUUCGUAUCAGGGGUAGGGGAGCGUCAUGUAUGAGGUGAAGUCGUAGCGAAAGCGGCGGUGGAUUGUACAUGAGAGAGAAUGCCGGAAUGAGUAGCGAGAAUUAUGUGAGAAUCAUAAUGGCCGAAAAUCUAAGGUUUCCUGAGGAAGGUUCGUCCGCUCAGGGUAAGCCGGGAGCUAAGGUGAGGCGGAAACGCGUAGCCGAUGCACAUACGGUAGAGAUUCCGUAGCCUCCGAAAAGUAAAGCACAGGGACGCUUCAGAAGUGUUACGCCGGGCGAUGGUUGCCCCGGUUGUAAAGGACACAAUUGAGUGGAAGGUAACAUGGAUGGAGACAAGAAAAGCUGUGUGUAUCUGGAAGGAGCCCGUACCGCAAACCGACACAGGUAGAUAGGAAGAAGAUUCUAAGGCCAGCGGGAGAAGGGUUGUUAAGGAACUCGGCAAGUUGACCCCGUAACUUCGGGAGAAGGGGUGCUUACGAAGGUAAGCCGCAGAGAAUAGGCCCAAGCGACUGUUUAGCAAAAACACAGCUCUAUGCUAAAUCGAAAGAUGACGUAUAUGGGGUGACACCUGCCCGGUGCUGGAAGGUUAAGAGGAGAUGUGAGAGCAUUGAAUUGAAGCCCCAGUAAACGGCGGCCGUAACUAUAACGGUCCUAAGGUAGCGAAAUUCCUUGUCAGGUAAGUUCUGACCCGCACGAAUGGCGUAAUGAUUUGGGCACUGUCUCAACAGCCCGCCCGGCGAAAUUGUAGUACCGGUGAAGAUGCCGGUUACCCGCGACUAGACGGAAAGACCCCAUGGAGCUUCACUGUAGCUUAAUAUUGAAUUUUGGUAUUUCAUGUACAGGAUAGGUGGGAGACUGGGAAAUACAGGCGUCAGCUUGUAUGGAGUCACUGUUGGGAUACCACUCUUGAGGUGCUGAAAUUCUAACCUGCGUCUUUGAAUCAAGACGGGGGACAUUGUUAGGUGGGCAGUUUGACUGGGGCGGUCGCCUCCAAAAGAGUAACGGAGGCGCUCAAAGGUUCGUUCAGCACGGACGGAAAUCGUGCACUGAGUGUAAACGCAUAAACGAGCCUAACUGCGAGAAUGACGGUUCGAGCAGUAACGAAAGUUGGAGUUAGUGAUCCGGCGGUAUGUGAAUGGAAAUGCCGUCGCUCAACGGAUAAAAGCUACCCUGGGGAUAACAGGCUGAUCUCCCCCAAGAGUCCACAUCGACGGGGAGGUUUGGCACCUCGAUGUCGGCUCAUCGCAUCCUGGGGCUGAAUUCGGUCCCAAGGGUUUGGCUGUUCGCCAAUUAAAGCGGUACGCGAGCUGGGUUCAGAACGUCGUGAGACAGUUCGGUCCCUAUCUGUUGCGGGCGCAGGAAUAUUGAGAGGAGCUGUCCUUAGUACGAGAGGACCGGGAUGGACGUACCGCUGGUGCACCAGUUGUUCUGCCAAGGGCAUAGCUGGGUAGCUAAGUACGGACGAGAUAAACGCUGAAGGCAUCUAAGCGUGAAACUCCCCUCGAGAUAAGUGUUCCCAUCCUUCGGGAGUAAGGCCCCUUGU